RNAcentral lists this long non-coding RNA (4035 nucleotides) under Sus scrofa (pig). Its description in RNAcentral is "lncRNA (ENSSSCG00000060767.1)". Lineage: Eukaryota; Metazoa; Chordata; Mammalia; Artiodactyla; Suidae. The record is from RNAcentral.
GGUGAGGAAGUAGGCAGCUUCGGAGGCGGUACUGCAGCGGCUGGAACCCGAGAGGCCUGGCGGCCCGGGUGAGGCUUGGGGCAGGUGGAAAGCCCCUUGCUCUUCUUUCCUGGGAUCGCGGCCAAGGCCGGAGCGGCUGCUUAGUCCACGGAUUCCUGUCAGGGGCGCGUCUUGGCUCGCUUCAUAGAGUGGACAGCCCUUGGCUAGUCCGCACCAAUGAGUGGGAGAUCGUCCUCUGGGCCAGUGCCCUCGAGGUGCCAGAAAGCCAACCUGCUUCACUAUCUUCAAGCUACAUGCCUGCGAAGAAGGUAUUAAGCUGAGAAGUCGCUUCAUAAGAGAAAUGGUAUUGAACGUCCAAGCAUUCUCCGGAGCCUGUAAGUGAUGCAGAAGAACAGCCCUGCCUGCUCUCCAGUGCAUCACACGUUCUGCAUCAGGCAGCUUGAAUCACCUGUCCCCAAACUUGCAGGUAAUAACCGCAUUCCCGGAAGUUCCCAUGUGGAACAGCGGGUUAAGGAUCUGGCGUUUCCACAGCUAUGGCGCAGGUCCUAACUGCUGCACAGGUUUGAUCCCUGGCCUGGGAACUUCUACAUGCCACGAGUGCGGCCAAAAACAAAACAAAACAAACAAAAACACCACAUUCCCUUCUAGUGAGAGAAUGCCCUAACCUCCCCUCCCCCUUCUGAAUCCUGUAUAAAUCAAUCCCUCUAAUUUAUAAUUCAUAGAUAUCAGCAAAUGUUUGGCCAUGACUAUGGCUUUAUUCUAAGUGGAUCUGAACAACUCUCUGGAUCUUGGUUUCUUCAUCUGUGAAAUGAAUGAGUGGGCUAGGUAAACUUCCAAAUCUAAAAUUUUAUACUACGCUGGCCCUGGAAAUAUGGAAAACUAUGGCCAAGCCCCUGUUCUCAACAGAUUUCAUUCUCAUUGGAAAGACAUUUUCAUGGAGAAAAGGAUAGAACGAAACAGAUGCUGAACGUCAGAUUACUGGUAUAUGCACUAAGUCCUGUAGGAGUUCAAAGAAGAGGGUUCACUGUAAACCAAAAACUAUCAGGAAAUGCUUUCCCUGGAGAAAUCACAUGAGCUUUGAAGGAAAGCCUGGCUUACAUAAGCCAGGAAAAUGGGAGUAGGACUGCAGACAAAGGAAGUGUUUCAAGCCAGAGUUGUGGCAGUUGGAAAGUGCUAAACAUUUCCUCUAGUUUAGAUGGUGGGUGAAGAAGCUGGAAAGGACUAAUUGUGGAGAGUUUGGAAUACCAGGUUGUGGUGUUCAGAAUUUAUUCAGUGAUCACUAAGAGGCCAUUGAAUGACUUAGUGCAUAAUGACUUUUAGCAAGUGUACAGUAAAGUGUUAGAAAAUUUAAAUAGUGGUAAUGGAUAAGAUAAAUCAGAGGGAGAGGCAGAAAUCAUUAUGGUAGUCCAUGCAUGGGCCUGGACUGAGAUGGCAAUAGUGGGACUGGAAAGGAAGAGAUCAGGGCAAGUGGAAGAAUAUACAAGUCUUGGUACAUUAGUCGCAAAAUAGAUGUGUAGAAGUGAAACAAAGGGGAAGAGAAAGUGAAGCAUGGCUUCAAGUCUGAAUGAGCAGAAGAACCAAGAUAUAGGGAAGCCUGGAGGAGAAGAUGGCUUGAAGAGAAAUAAGAUGUAUUGUAUUAAAUUCAAGGUGACAUCAAGACAACAAAGUAGUUAAUAUUCAAGUACCAGAUAUGAAUCAGAGCCCAGAAAAGAAGUUGGGGCUGAAGAUAGAGUUAUGAACAUCUUUUAUAUGGCUGAAGAAUGAUGGAGACAGUACGGAAGAAAAAUAGACAAUCAUACUUGAGUGCCCACAUUCUUAAGUCGAAGAGGAAAAAGGCAAGAUGAUGAGGAUAUUACAUGGCUAGGAGGAAAUCCAGUACAUCUUACAUCACAAGAUCAUAAAUAUUAAGCAUUUUGUGAACAAGAACUGUGUUUGGCAGACCAAAAGUCAUGUUUUAUUAAAUCUAAUUGGCUAUCUGUUCUAAGAGACACCAUUAUCCUAUGCACUACUAAGAAAAACACAAGUUCCCAUCUAAACUAGUGAAGAUUGUAAAACACAUCUAAUUUCAGAAACAUCAGUAUGUGAUAAAAGAUCUAUCUUCAAAUGAUAACAGUUAGUGUUAGUUCUCUCCUUACUUCCUCUGACCUCAAUAGCUCCUGGCAUAGUAUUUAGGACAAAGCUGGUGCUUAAAAUGUGGAAGGAACUUUAGAGCCUCUAAUCAUCACUGAACUGCCCACCACUGCAUCUAUAUACCUACUCCUGCUCUUUUCCUCCACUAGCUACUAUCACAUCUGAAUGUUCAGUGCCUAUCUAUAUGAAACAGAUGCUCAGUAAACACAUUGCGAAUGAGAUCAUUAGGGUAGACCCUAAUUCAGUGCAACUAGUAUCCUUAUGAGGAGAUUUGGCCACAGACAUCCCCACAUGCAGAAGGAAAUGUAAAGACGUGGAGAUGGCAGUCUACAGCCAAGGACAGAAGUUUCAGAAAAAACCAACCCUGCUGAUAAUUUUUUUUGUUUGUUUUUUUUGUUUUUUUUGGUCUCUUGUCCUCUUAGGGCCGCACCUGAAGCAUAUGGAGGUUCUCAGGCUAAGGGUCUAAUCGGAGCUGUUGCCACAGGCCUACACCAGAGCCACGUCUGUGACCUACACCAUAGCUCACGGCAAUGCCGGAUCCUUAACCCACUGAUCGAGGCCAGGGAUCGAACCCAAAACCUCAUGGUUACUAGUCAGAUUCAUUUCCGCUGCACCAUGAUGGGAACUCCACACCUUUUUUUUUUUUCUUUUUUAACUUCACUUUAUAUUGUACAGGGAGAUUUUUUUUUUCCUAUCAACAUGAACACAAGUAAUUCAGUCUUUGUGUCUGUGGCUGAGCAUUCCUAGAAAUCAAAAUAACUUCAAUUUACCAUUUCAUUUUUUUACUUAGUUUUUAUUUUAUUUUAAAUGCAUUCUUUUGAAAUGUAGUUGAUUUGCAGUGUUGUGUUGAUUUGCUCUACAGAAAGUUGAUUCAGUUAUACGUGUAUAUAUCUUCUUUUUCAUAUUCUUUUCCAUUAUGGUUUAUCACAGGAUAUUGAAUGUAGUUCCCUGUGUUAUACAGUAGGACUUUGUUUAUCCAUUUUAUUUAAUUAAAAAAAAAAUUUUUUUUUGUCUUUUUCUAGGGCAGCAGCUGCGGCACAUGGAGAUUCCCAGGCCAGGGAUCUAAUUGGAGCUGUAGCUACCAGCCUACGCCAGAGCCACAGCAAUGCCAGAUCCGAACCACGUCUGUGACCUAUACCACAGUUCACAGCAACGCCGGAUCUUUAACCCAAUGAGCAAGGCCAGGGAUUGAACCCACAACCUCAUCGUUCCUAGUUGGAUUCGUUAACCACUGAUCCACGAUGGGAACUCCUUUCUUUUAAAUUUUUAAAAUAUUUUUUAUUAAAGUAUAGUUGAUUUACAAUGUUCCUUCAAUUUCUGCUAUACUGCAAAGUGACCAGUAAUAUAUAUAUACAUAUAUAUAUAUAUUCUUUUUUUUUAUACCAACUUCCAUCAUGUUCUGAACCAAAAGACUGGACAUAGUUCCCUGUGUUUUACAGUAGGACCCCAUUACUUAUCCAUUUUAAAUGUAAUAAUUUGCAUCUACCAACCCCAAACUCCCCGCCCAUCCCACUCCCCCCCCAUACCAUUUCUUAUUGAUGGUUCAUUUGAGUGGUUUGUAUUUUCCUCUAGUAGUACUGCAAUGAACAUUUGAGGUCAGUCUUUUCCUUGAGCUCUCUACUUUAGAAACUUUUAGAACAGAGUUUUCUUGUGGUCUGGUGGAUAAAAAGAACCUUGGCUAGGAUCCCACCCCUUUCCUCUGAUUGCCUGAAGUUGGUAUCCUCAGGUUUCUGAGAUGAAUUUUGUGACAAGAGGAGUCUAGGAAUCAGAAAUUCCUACUUCCUAUACCUGGAAACCAGAGACAGUGCAUCUGCACUAAGUGGAACUGAAAUUAACCCUCCUGACACCUUGAUCUGGGACAUGUAGCUUCCAGAAGUAUGAGAAUAUAAAUUUCUGUUGUUAAAG